RNAcentral lists this long non-coding RNA (283 nucleotides) under Rhinopithecus bieti (black snub-nosed monkey). RNAcentral describes it as "lncRNA (ENSRBIG00000045329.1)". The record is from RNAcentral. Lineage: Eukaryota; Metazoa; Chordata; Mammalia; Primates; Cercopithecidae.
CUAAAAAGGUAUGAAACCAAGGAGGCAAGGCGCCCUCGGACUGCACAGGCUCUCCCCUCCUCUUGCUUGAGAUUAGAGGGGAGGGGGUAAAGGCAGGACAUCCAGAGGCAUCCAGCCAGGAUUUUAGCACCAGUAAAGCCAAGGAAUGAAUGAAUGGCCACAGGCUACUCUGCAGGGCACUCACAGCCUCGCCUUCACCAAGGGUGUUUGAUAGGUGCCCUUGGGGCAAUGGGCUUCACAGAGCAGCUGUCCUCAGGAAACUUACCAGGAGAGGGAAGAAGGU